Molecule: transfer RNA, 83 nt
Filed under: Schistocephalus solidus
Lineage: Eukaryota; Metazoa; Platyhelminthes; Cestoda; Diphyllobothriidea; Diphyllobothriidae
Rfam family: tRNA
About the family: Transfer RNA (tRNA) molecules are approximately 80 nucleotides in length. Their secondary structure includes four short double-helical elements and three loops (D, anti-codon, and T loops).
Source: Rfam by way of RNAcentral
GGCCUCGUAGCUCAGUUGGCUAGAGCGUUGGCUGUACUAAAGCCUUCCCCUUGCUGGCGUGCGUUCGAAUCCUACCAAGGCCG